This 252-nucleotide ribosomal RNA is filed under the name uncultured bacterium. RNAcentral's name for it is "partial 16S ribosomal RNA". It matches the Rfam family "Bacterial small subunit ribosomal RNA", at positions 524 to 776 of the family's 1533-position model. The record is from RNAcentral.
UACGUAGGGGGCUAGCGCUAUCCGGAAUUACUGGGCGUAAAGGGUGCGUAGGUGGUUUCUUAAGUCAGAGGUGAAAGGCUACGGCUCAACCGUAGUAAGCCUUUGAAACUGGGAAACUUGAGUGCAGGAGAGGAAAGUGGAAUUCCAUGUGUAGCGGUGAAAUGCGUAGAUAUAUGGAGGAACACCGGUGGCGAAAGCGGCUCUCUGGCCUGUAACUGACACUGAGGCUCGAAAGCGUGGGGAGCAAACAGG